Molecule: ribosomal RNA, 841 nt
Filed under: uncultured Halomonas sp.
Lineage: Bacteria; Pseudomonadati; Pseudomonadota; Gammaproteobacteria; Oceanospirillales; Halomonadaceae
Description: bacterial SSU rRNA
Rfam family: Bacterial small subunit ribosomal RNA
Source: RNAcentral
AACGCUGGCGGCAGGCCUAACACAUGCAAGUCGAGCGGUAACAGGGGUAGCUUGCUACCCGCUGACGAGCGGCGGACGGGUGAGUAAUGCAUAGGAAUCUGCCCGAUAGUGGGGGAUAACCUGGGGAAACCCAGGCUAAUACCGCAUACGUCCUACGGGAGAAAGGGGGCUUCGGCUCCCGCUAUUGGAUGAGCCUAUGUCGGAUUAGCUAGUUGGUGAGGUAAAGGCUCACCAAGGCAACGAUCCGUAGCUGGUCUGAGAGGAUGAUCAGCCACAUCGGGACUGAGACACGGCCCGAACUCCUACGGGAGGCAGCAGUGGGGAAUAUUGGACAAUGGGGGCAACCCUGAUCCAGCCAUGCCGCGUGUGUGAAGAAGGCCCUCGGGUUGUAAAGCACUUUCAGCGAGGAAGAACGCCUAUCGGUUAAUACCCGGUAGGAAAGACAUCACUCGCAGAAGAAGCACCGGCUAACUCCGUGCCAGCAGCCGCGGUAAUACGGAGGGUGCAAGCGUUAAUCGGAAUUACUGGGCGUAAAGCGCGCGUAGGUGGCUUGAUAAGCCGGUUGUGAAAGCCCCGGGCUCAACCUGGGAACGGCAUCCGGAACUGUCAGGCUAGAGUGCAGGAGAGGAAGGUAGAAUUCCCGGUGUAGCGGUGAAAUGCGUAGAGAUCGGGAGGAAUACCAGUGGCGAAGGCGGCCUUCUGGACUGACACUGACACUGAGGUGCGAAAGCGUGGGUAGCAAACAGGAUUAGAUACCCUGGUAGUCCACGCCGUAAACGAUGUCGACCAGCCGUUGGGUGCCUAGAGCACUUUGUGGCGAAGUUAACGCGAUAAGUCGACC